GAUGAAGAACGUAGCGAAAUGCGAUAAGUAGUGUGAAUUGCAGAAUUCAGUGAAUCAUCGAAUCUUUGAACGCACAUUGCGCCCUUUGGCAUUCCGAAGGGCAUACCUGUUCGAGCGUCAUUUCAACCGUCAAGCCUGGCUUGGUGUUGGGCGUCUUGUCCCGCUAUGUGCGCGGACUCGCCUUAAAAGAAUCGGCGUCUCUAUGUUGGCCUGAUGCGUAGCACAAUUCGCAGACCAGGCAGGCGUACCGGCGGCCGGAAAGCACCUUUUUUUUUGUUUGACCUCGGAUCAGGUAGGGAUACCCGCUGAACUUAAGCAUAUCAAUAAGCGGAGGA
Molecule: unclassified non-coding RNA, 335 nt
Filed under: soil metagenome
Description: partial contains 5.8S ribosomal RNA, internal transcribed spacer 2, and large subunit ribosomal RNA
Rfam family: 5.8S ribosomal RNA (bases 1-120)
Source: RNAcentral